AUGGGAGCAUCUCAAAUAAUUGCCCUGGCUCGAGCAGUAGCUAAGCAUGGGGUGUCUAGCUGUCCCCUGAGCAAAGCCAUGCGUGGCUUUAUUAGCAGCUGGUGGCUGUUUUGUUCUGAGGCUGGUGGCUCAGCCUGCCCCGAGACUGAGCGUGGGGAGCUAGCUGUGAGUUUAUCUUCUCCCUGCCUUCCCUUCCAGCACGUGUUGCAAGCACAAGUAAUGCUCAAGCCUUUCCUAGUUGCUUUUUCUUUCCCCAAAGGAGGUGUGAUUGCUUUGCGCCCCGAGCAAGCCGGGCUGUUGUGUUUUUCACUGGCCCGAUGGCUGCAGUGGUUGUCGCGCGUGGCUUCCCUGGGGCUGCUGCGGCUGGUUGCUGGCCCUGCAGGGAGCUCGGCACAGCGAGGAGCCAAGCGGAGCAAAGAGGCGCCUUUCAGCCUUCUUCGGGGCCUUCGCACAAGGCCCCGUCCUCCCGGCGGCUUCGCAGCCGACGUCCUGUUUGGUUUGAGCCUGAGCCAGUGCCCUGAUGAAUGCAGCUCUUGUCAGCACCCUCCGGCCCUGGAUGGGGCUCUGGUCCUCCGCUUUGCUAAUGAAAGGCGCUGGUGUGUGGCUGCGGGGCUGGGGGCCAGGGAGGAGGGGGCACGCCGCGCUACCAGGUCGGCAGAGGAGGAGGUAAGCGUCGAGUCCUGGGCAGGGAACGGCCGCUUGCUCCUCUCCGAGCCCUGCUGCUCUCAGGGCUGGUGGCCACGUGAGAAGAUGGGCUGGGAACAGGUACCUGAUGGGCUCCUUGGAUGAGCUUCUAGCUAUAAACCAGGGCGCAGUGCUCUCCCCGGGAGGGGGCUGCUUCCUCCUCCUCCCCGUGCCAUCACCUGCCCUGUGCUGACUCCAGACCAGCAGCGCUGCCACCCCUCGCUGGUCCUGAGCAGCUCUCGUGCCCUCCUCCUCCUCCUCGGCUGCUCUUCCUGGGGCUUUUCUGAUGUGAACGGCUUUGAUCUGAGCUCCUUCUCAGAUGCAGUGCUGGGAGAGGCGGCUGUGUUAAGGCUUUCAGGGGAUUUGCGAGGGCAAGAUCUGCUCAUCUUUCACUGUCCUGUGGUUAAAAUUCAUCUCUGACCCUCAGUGGCUGCUGUUCUUUCUCCCUGACUGCCUGACAGAGUGAGGAUUAGGUAGUCAGCUCCAUCUGGGCCUCUGCUAGGGUUCCUUGCAUCUUUUAGGCUGUUUUCUCUGGCUAGAGCAGAGGACAGAACUGGGGGUACUGGUCCAGCGGAAGGAGAACCCAGGUUUGGGAUGCAGGGAGGAUGGAGAAGGACGGUUCCUUGGCCUCUGUGCCAAGAGGCCUGUUCACAUCAGGGCUGCCGCUCCACGCCUCCUAACAGAGAGCUGUGCAGCCAGUGCCUGUGCCCAAAAGCUUCCCCCUGUCCCUCGCCGUGUGCCACGAGGGACCCAGGAGCUCUGCUGUUAAACACGUCUUUAUUUCUCUGCAUACGCAUUUCAGCCAGCCCCUGGCAGGGGCCUCCUGCUGUGAUGGCCUCCGGCUGCGUUACCCGCACUCUCCUGCCUGUCCCCCCUGCUUGCGCUGCUUCCCCUCCAGCCGAUGCCACCCCAGGAGCUCCCCAGUGCCCCGCUGCAGGUGCGCGGGGCUGGCCGUGGAGCCCCUCUCCGGCUGCACUGCCCCGCAGAAGUAAAGGCUAAGGCUGAAGCAGAGCAAGGCACGUCCUACCUGCAUCCAAACCUCUGCAGUGUGCUUAGGGCAAAGGGACAAAGGGAAUUCUUCCUUGCUGUCACCACCCCCCCUUCC
Long non-coding RNA from Anser cygnoides (Swan goose), 1789 nucleotides. Lineage: Eukaryota; Metazoa; Chordata; Aves; Anseriformes; Anatidae. The record is from Ensembl.